GUGCCAGCAGCCGCGGUAAUACGGAGGAUGCGAGCGUUAUCCGGAUUUAUUGGGUUUAAAGGGUGCGUAGGUGGUGAUUUAAGUCAGCGGUGAAAGUUUGUGGCUCAACCAUAAAAUUGCCGUUGAAACUGGGUUACUUGAGUGUGUUUGAGGUAGGCGGAAUGCGUGGUGUAGCGGUGAAAUGCAUAGAUAUCACGCAGAACUCCGAUUGCGAAGGCAGCUUACUAAACCAUAACUGACACUGAAGCACGAAAGCGUGGGGAUCAAACAGGAUUAGAUACCCUGGUAGUCC
Molecule: ribosomal RNA, 292 nt
Filed under: uncultured prokaryote
Description: partial 16S ribosomal RNA
Rfam family: Bacterial small subunit ribosomal RNA
Source: RNAcentral